GAUACCUGGCGGCGUGCCUACACAUGCAGUCGAACGGAAGUUUAACGCUGACGAGACUUCGGUCAAAUCUUGUUAAACUUUAGUGGCGGACGGGUGAGUAACGCGUGGGCAACCUGCCUCAUACUGGGGGAUAACAGUUGGAAACGACUGUUAAUACCGCAUAAGCGCACAGAGUCGCAUGACUCAGUGUGAAAAACUCCGGUGGUAUGAGAUGGGCCCGCGUCAGAUUAGCCAGUUGGCGGGGUAACGGCCCACCAAAGCGACGAUCUGUAGCCGGACUGAGAGGUCGGACGGCCACAUUGGGACUGAGACACGGCCCAAACUCCUACGGGAGGCAGCAGUGGGGGAUAUUGCACAAUGGAGGAAACUCUGAUGCAGCGACGCCGCGUGAGUGAAGAAGUAUUUCGGUAUGUAAAGCUCUAUCAGCAGGGAAGAAAGGCUCGUAAGAGAGAUGACGGUACCUGACUAAGAAGCCCCGGCUAACUACGUGCCAGCAGCCGCGGUAAU
Molecule: ribosomal RNA, 507 nt
Filed under: uncultured bacterium
Lineage: Bacteria
Description: bacterial SSU rRNA
Rfam family: Bacterial small subunit ribosomal RNA
Source: RNAcentral